This 250-nucleotide ribosomal RNA is filed under the name uncultured bacterium. RNAcentral describes it as "partial 16S ribosomal RNA". It matches the Rfam family "Bacterial small subunit ribosomal RNA", at positions 15 to 245 of the family's 1533-position model. The record is from RNAcentral.
GAUCCUGGCUCAGGAUGAACGCUAGCGACAGGCCUAACACAUGCAAGUCGAGGGGCAGCGGAGAGGUAGCAAUACCUUUGCCGGCGACCGGCGCACGGGUGAGUAACACGUAUGCAAUCCACCUGUAACAGGGGGAUAACCCGGAGAAAUCCGGACUAAUACCCCAUAAUAUGGGCGCUCCGCAGUGGAGACGCCCUAAUUAAAGAGAGACUUAAGUUUUUGGUACAGACGAGCAUGCGCUCCUAUUACG